CCUACGGGGGGCUGCAGUGGGGAAUAUUGGACAAUGGGGGCAACCCUGAUCCAGCCAUGCCGCGUGUGUGAAGAAGGCCCUCGGGUUGUAAAGCACUUUCAGUGAGGAAGAACGCCUGGUGGUUAAUACCCAUCAGGAAAGACAUCACUCACAGAAGAAGCACCGGCUAACUCCGUGCCAGCAGCCGCGGUAAUACGGAGGGUGCGAGCGUUAAUCGGAAUUACUGGGCGUAAAGCGCGCGUAUGUGGCUUGAUAAGCCGGUUGUGAAAGCCCCGGGCUCAACCUGGGAACGGCAUCCGGAACUGUCAAGCUAGAGUGCAGGAGAGGAAGGUAGAAUUCCCGGUGUAGCGGUGAAAUGCGUAGAGAUCGGGAGGAAUACCAGUGGCGAAGGCGGCCUUCUGGACUGACACUGACACUGAGGUGCGAAAGCGUGGGUAGCAAACAGGAUUAGAUACCCUAGUAGUC
This 465-nucleotide ribosomal RNA is filed under the name Vreelandella stevensii. RNAcentral describes it as "partial 16S ribosomal RNA". It matches the Rfam family "Bacterial small subunit ribosomal RNA", at positions 338 to 795 of the family's 1533-position model. The record is from RNAcentral. Lineage: Bacteria; Pseudomonadati; Pseudomonadota; Gammaproteobacteria; Oceanospirillales; Halomonadaceae.